Molecule: transfer RNA, 76 nt
Filed under: Methanoculleus bourgensis
Lineage: Archaea; Methanobacteriati; Methanobacteriota; Methanomicrobia; Methanomicrobiales; Methanomicrobiaceae
Also listed under: 3 other names
Description: tRNA-Asp
Rfam family: tRNA
About the family: Transfer RNA (tRNA) molecules are approximately 80 nucleotides in length.
Source: RNAcentral
GCCCAGGUAGUGUAGUGGCCUAUCAUGACGGCCUGUCACGCCGUCGACACGGAUUCGAAUUCCGUCCUGGGCGUCA